CAAGGCGGUGGCAUUUGAUCUGCGUGGUGGACCCACCCAGCACAAGGACAAAUGCGGAGGAGCGUCUCCUCAUCUUCCUCGACAAGCCAAAACGGAGGCGAGGAGGGCUCGAGGCGGUCGGAGGCGGAGCUCGCCGCCGCGGCGUCUCGUGCCAAGCACAACCUUCGCCUCCUUCGCCUCCGUCGCCUCCUCGUAGCCGUCGUCACCUUCGCGCGCCGCUGCUCCUCUCGCUCCCUGGAACCCAGAUCCGGCAGCGAAGAGAUGUUGCAUCGCGCCAUGGCGUCGCUUCAGAUAGGAACAGUGGCGGAGGACGGAUAAAAACUGAGGUAUGGCGGAGUCAAUCGAUUUUCAAGCAACGGAAACUUGCUAUUUGUUAUGCGGAUGUAUGACUGUGCAGAUCACUUGCCUACUCCUGCUGCUAAGCAAGGGUUUCCUUUUUUUUACCUUCCGCUACCGUAGAAUACUCAUUACUUAUCCUCAUUCAUGACAGUGUGACGUAGGAUAAGUCAGAACUAAACACAGAGAUUGAGGAUUAAGAAGAGUAGGCUAUCAUGGAACAGCAAGGUAUGGCAGGGGCCAUACCUUGCCACCGUGCCCCUCCGCCACUGGAUAAGUUUCACUUGUGCAGCAUCUUUUGAGCCUUGGAAACAUUGUCAACAGCAGCUCUAGCUAAUUGGGUGGAGGCAUCAAGCACAAAAGGCUGACUUUACUUUUGCACUUGAUGAAGAUGUGAUUUACAUGCUGGCACCUGAAUCCCGACCGAAGUGGACGGACAAUGUGUACUACAAUCACCUGUGCACAAACCUUGCUGAUGCGAACUACCAAUAUCAUCGUGCUUACGCAAUUAUGUACAUGAAGACACCUACUAAAUCACGUUGUUGAUAUGGCGCCGUUUUAAAUUAAAUUAUGUUAGAAAUCAGAUUACUAAAUCGCCAGCAUGUAAGAUUAGAGAUAAUCUCAUCCAUAGGUUAGGGCUAAUCCUAGCCAUUAGAUUAGAUCAAUAACUGAUUAGCAGUUAACCUUGUAAAUCCAACGGGUGUGUCCGUUGGUGUACCGAUGUGUCCCUCCGCUUACAGACGCAACUCUCCACUGUACGGUCGCGUCCUUUUGGUGAAGGGACGCGUCCUCUCGGUUCUCCCUGUAUUCAAAGAUCAAUGAAAUCACUCAACAGUUGUUUUCAAA
Long non-coding RNA from Panicum hallii, 1182 nucleotides. RefSeq lists it as uncharacterized. The transcript is spliced from 4 exons. The record is from RefSeq and is a predicted model, not a curated record. NCBI's taxonomy places the organism in Eukaryota, Viridiplantae, Streptophyta, Magnoliopsida, Poales, Poaceae.